This 253-nucleotide ribosomal RNA is filed under the name uncultured bacterium. RNAcentral describes it as "partial 16S ribosomal RNA". It matches the Rfam family "Bacterial small subunit ribosomal RNA", at positions 524 to 776 of the family's 1533-position model. The record is from RNAcentral.
UACGGGGGGAGCAAGCGUUGUUCGGAUUUACUGGGCGUAAAGGGCGCGUAGGCGGCGCAACAAGUCACUUGUGAAAUCUCCGGGCUUAACCCGGAGCGGCCAAGUGAUACUGUCGUGCUAGAGUGCGGAAGGGGCUACUGGAAUUCUCGGUGUAGCGGUGAAAUGCGUAGAUAUCAGGAGGAACACCGGUGGCGAAGGCGGGUCUCUGGGCCGAUACUGACGCUGAGGAGCGAAAGCGUGGGGAGCGAACAGG